GGAGACAGGUAAGACUGUCCAUCAUAUCUUAUGACACAUUACCUCGGGUGGUGGAUACCUAUAAAUUAGAAUGAUAGCAGGAGGAGGUGUGUGGGCAUACGAGACAAAGGGGGUAAAUGUAAGAGAGAGAGAGAGGUAGCGGUAACAACGAAGACUUCAAGAAGGGAGACCAAUACUCAUGAAUCUAAACUUCGGUGCCUCGUCGACAUCUUGUAGAUUCUAGACUAAAAUGACCGCCUACUCUAGUUGCGUGACUGACCAUAGAGAGACAGUUAGUAAAAGGUUUCUUGAUUCGACCUGGCGUUUGAGGAAAGAUGGCCACCACCAUAGCGGCGACUCUUUUCGUUUAUUCCAAUUAUACCUAUAACUCUCCCUGUUGUAAGGUCCUUCAAAAUACCUUGAUGACUUGUACCAACUCGUCGGGUACAGUUUAAAGUUAGUUCUUUUGUGAUACUUGAGUCAUGGUCUUCUUUCAAGCACGAAAAGACUAUCUGGUAUAACAAGUCUUCUGUGACUACAUGAAAGCUCUGGAUUGAAUUCCCAACUGUGAAUACUAAUACAGCUACUGAGUUUACUUCAAGUCAGGUCAGAACUUACAUACUUUCUUUUUCAACGCUAACGACUAUACUAUAGACGGGGACUUUUAGAACUGCUCGUCAUGAAUAAAAGACGUAUGUUACAAGUCUAACUCCUCAGUCUAAGAUUACUUGCUAUGGAACUUCCUCCUGUUCAACCUCGACACCUUGUGCCUUAAUCUUCAAAAACACUUCUGUGUAGACAAGUUUACAAUUCCGGCCAACAACCAUACUUCAAAAGUAGUUUCCGUCUUCGUAUACUGAAGAUGUUAUGUAUAAGAACCCACGAACCAAAGUCAUAAGCCUUACCACUAUUAAUAUAAUUAACGUUACCGCAUGUCUGUUACGUCCUUAAUUAAACGGUUGCUCGUGGGUCUAGGGGUGGCCGGUACGACCGCCGCUCUUGGGACUCUGCCUGUUCGCUGACACGGAGGUGGAAGGUCUACUGCGGAGCGGCGUUCUUCUUCUGCGCCCCUGAACCUACAACUGGUACUGCUGCCGCAGGAAGAGCACACCAAGCUCAAGCUCGAGUUCCGGCUCCACCGACAGGAACCCCUGCGUGAGGAGAAGCUGUCAGACUGAGUAGCAUUUACCGUCCUGCGUGGUGCACAGAAUGAUCGGCCUGCGCAGGAAGCUGCCGCGUGUUGCCGCAGUACGCUGCUGUCCUGCGAUGUAGUCGGCUCCUGACCGGCGGCUCAGUCACAGGGGAGGUGGGUCGUACCGAGAUGAAUUAUCAGGUUUACUUUCUAUCUAUUUUUGUCUACAUCUUGAUCGUAGGUAAAACUUGGUAUACAAACUAUGACGUCGGGCACAAGUUCUUGAUAACAUGACGUUUGUGUUCCUUCCUACACGUCCGACCAUAACAGAGGAACUUUGGUGAGUUUAUUUCUCCUGAGAGUUCCAAUAAAAGACCUCGACCCCAGGGAACCACUAAGAACUAACAUCGACUCUAUUGGUAUCGACUUUUAGAGAUAUAAUUACUUUCAACUUCACAACAGUGUAAGUCUUCUUUUUUUUUCCAUGUUAACCAGAAAGAAUCAACUAUCGUAAACUAUAUACGGUAUACGAUUAAUUACGAACCGACGGUGACAAGAUACGAAACUACGUGUUAGGUUAUAAAGUGUCGUUACACUCUAUUACUUACACUUAUAAGGAGAAGCUGUGUGUUACCAUUCGUAUACGUACGUCGUACGUACGGGUUUCUAAACAUCAGAGAGAUUAUGAACACAUGGAAGUAAACAUGUAAAAGUAGGAAAAUAUCAGUUUUAUUUGCCCGCGUCGUCGCGCGCGGUAGUUACUAGAUCACCCAGUAUAAUCACUUCUGUUAAGUACCAUACCAUCCGUUGGUGUAUCGAGUGAAACGUCUCACGGUUUUUAAGCGGUCUUUCCUACAACUCUCUCAAAAACCACACGAAAUCUUACCAAACGCUAAUCACCGGGUCAACUCAUGAUGGGUAAUCAUGAUACCAUCUAGUACUGUUGUACAUAACAGUACGUGGUGCACUAGUAGCUCAUACUCUCCCCUGUUGGUUUUUUUUAAGCCACGGAGAUAUUACCCCUUGUACAGAUCGGUGUUGUAGUUCGUUUGUACUGGGUUUCUAAGGACCGUAGCGUAGUGCUCUAGUUCUUCGAGCAGUGGUUGAGGAUCUACUAGUACAACUCGUGAACACCGUUGAAGUAUUGUGAACUAAGAACAUGAAAAUAGUACAAAAUAAACCC
Molecule: ribosomal RNA, 2294 nt
Filed under: Triticum aestivum (bread wheat)
Lineage: Eukaryota; Viridiplantae; Streptophyta; Magnoliopsida; Poales; Poaceae
Description: partial small subunit ribosomal RNA
Source: RNAcentral